This 102-nucleotide non-coding RNA is filed under the name Alkaliphilus metalliredigens. Its description in RNAcentral is "SAM-I sequence". It matches the Rfam family "SAM riboswitch aptamer (S box leader)". From Rfam's summary of the family: The SAM riboswitch is found upstream of a number of genes which code for proteins involved in methionine or cysteine biosynthesis in Gram-positive bacteria. The SAM riboswitch acts at the level of transcription termination control. RNAcentral also lists the same sequence under 1 other name. Lineage: Bacteria; Bacillati; Bacillota; Clostridia; Peptostreptococcales; Natronincolaceae. The record is from RNAcentral.
AACUUAUCAAGAGAAACUGAGGGACUGGCCCGAUGAUGUUUCAGCAACCACACAUAUGUGACGGUGCUAAAUCCAGCAGAACAUAGUUCUGGGAGAUGAGAA